This 516-nucleotide ribosomal RNA is filed under the name uncultured bacterium. Its description in RNAcentral is "bacterial SSU rRNA". It matches the Rfam family "Bacterial small subunit ribosomal RNA", at positions 1 to 518 of the family's 1533-position model. The record is from RNAcentral.
GAGUUAGAGUUCGAUCGUGCUAGGAUGAACGCUAGCGGCAGGCCUAAUACAUGCAAGUCGAACGGGACGGGCCCCUUCGGGGGCCCUGAGAGUGGCGCACGGGUGCGCAACGCGUAUGCAACAACCCCGACAGGCGGAUAGCCGGUGGAAACGCCGGAUAAUACGCCAUGGUUCCCCCGGGAGGGCAUCCUCCUGGGGAUAAAGCCGAGAGGCGGUCGGGGACGGGCAUGCGUCCCAUUAGAUGGUAGCGGGGUGACGGCCCACCUAGUCCGCGAUGGUAGGGGAUCUGAGAGGACGGUCCCCCACACUGGUACUGAGACACGGACCAGACUCCUGCGGGAGGCAGCAGUAAGGGAUAUUGGUCGAUGGGGGCAACCCUGAACCAGCCAUGCCGCGUGAGGGAAUGAGGCCCUACGGGUCGUGAACCUCUUUUAUUCGGGGACAAGGACGCGGUCGCGAACCGUGUUUGAGGGUACCGAAGGAAUAAGCAUCGGCUAACUCCGUGCCAGCAGCGGC